CCCCGGUUUGGGGGGGAAAAGGCGGAGGGAUCAUUACCGAGUUUACACUCCCAAACCCCUGUGACAUACCACUUGUUGCCUCGGCGGAUCAGCCCGCUCCCGGUAAACGGGACGGCCCGCCAGAGGACCCCUAACUCUGUUUCUAUAUGUAACUUCUGAGUAAACCAUAAAUAAAUCAAAACUUUCAACAACGGGAUCUCUUGGGUUCCGGCACCGAGGGGAAGAACGCAGCAAAAUGCGAUAAGUAAUGUGAAUUGCAGAAUUCAGUGAAUCAUCGAAUCUUUGAACGCACAUUGCGCCCGCCAGUAUUCUGGCGGGCAUGCCUGUUCGAGCGUCAUUUCAACCCUCAAGCACAGCUUGGUGUUGGGACUCGCGUUAAUUCGCGUUCCUCAAAUUGAUUGGCGGUCACGUCGAGCUUCCAUAGCGUAGUAGUAAAACCCUCGUUACUGGUAAUCGUCGCGGCCACGCCGUUAAACCCCAACUUCUGAAUGUUGACCUCGGAUCAGGUAGGAAUACCCGCUGAACUUAAGCAUAUCUAAAACCGGAGGAA
This 550-nucleotide ribosomal RNA is filed under the name Fusarium oxysporum f. sp. melongenae. RNAcentral's name for it is "eukaryotic LSU rRNA". The stretch from base 180 to 337 matches the Rfam family "5.8S ribosomal RNA". Lineage: Eukaryota; Fungi; Ascomycota; Sordariomycetes; Hypocreales; Nectriaceae. The record is from RNAcentral.